CAAGAGCAAUGGCGGUGGCCAGAGGACAUACGUUCAGGGCCGAGUCAUUGUCCAGAAGGACAGAUGGAACUCGGCGACCUGAACAACCAACAGAUAUAUAGAGAGGACGCGUGUGGUCUGAACCCUCUGGCGGCAAGUCGUCAUCGGAAAAGACGAUACAAGUGGCUCUGCCAGCCGUCAUCAUAUGAAUGAGUCCCUUGGGAGUGGUCGUGGUAUCAACUCUGAUCUGGCUCAAAGCUCGAGUCAGUGCAUCCCGAUGAGUACU
Molecule: long non-coding RNA, 265 nt
Filed under: Vitis vinifera (wine grape)
Lineage: Eukaryota; Viridiplantae; Streptophyta; Magnoliopsida; Vitales; Vitaceae
Description: long non-coding RNA (VVIN_LNC001068)
Source: RNAcentral